GAGAUAUUUACUUUUAACCCCUUAAGGACACAUGACUUGUGUGACAUGUCAUGAUUCCCUUUUAUUCCAGAAGUUUGGGCCUUAAGGGGUUAAAAGGAACAAAUUAAAGGACCACUAUAGUGCCAGGAAAACAUACUCGUUUUCCUGGCACUAUAGUGUCCUGAGGGUGCCCCCACCUUCAGGGACCCCCUCCCGCCCGGCUCUGGAAAGGGGUAAAAACUUACCUUUUUCCAGCGCUGGGCGGAGAGCUCUCCUCCUCC
This is a non-coding RNA of Pelobates cultripes (western spadefoot toad), 260 nucleotides long. Lineage: Eukaryota; Metazoa; Chordata; Amphibia; Anura; Pelobatidae. The record is from the annotation of a GenBank genome assembly.